AGUGCCACUGGGGAAGGAUCUCUUUUUGGCUAUCCUUCUUCUGUGGAGUCUUUCUUGUGAACCUGGAUCUUUGGACGUAGGGAGUCUGCCUGUGGUUAUUGUACCAUCCUGGCUUGUUGACUGGACCUGCAUGCUGCUGUGAGGAUGAGAUGGUUGCCUAGUCUAUUCUACUGUUGCUAUUGCUCCUGCUUUGCCACCCUGGGACUUGUGGUCCCUGUCAGGAAAAUCCAAAAUGCUCACAAAUUCCUUACUAUUCUUCAUUUUUGGAAAGAAGAGAAAUAUUUCCCAACUGCCCAGUUCAAGUGUGGUAGUUUUGUGGUGUAGUUCUUCUGGAAGAGAGCUUAGGUCCUACAAGAUAAUCCUCCUCCCUUAUUACAUUACAAAGGAGUAGGUCUCAUCAAGUUUAGAGUAAUAGAUGAAAACCAGCAGCAAAACUGGGUGAAAACACUGGAACUUUGGGUGUGGAUUUCUGCUGAAUUUUUUGCAUUAGUUAGGUGGUGUUUUUCUAUCUUUUCCACUGAACAUCUCUUCCCAAGAGAUUACUGACAUUAGUAAUCUUGAGUAAUCAGCUGCAUCUUUCUUUCCUGGGUACUGGAAAAUUCCAGCAGUAAUAAUCAGUUCUACCUCAAACAUCCCAAUUUUUGUGUGGUGCUUAAAUCAUUUGGAACUGUUUUCUACAGUCUUUUUUUAUCUUAAGUAUCUGCAAAAAAAAGCAAAUUCUUAAUUUAGGUACUUAUAGCAAGAAAUAUGCUACACUGUGACGAGAACACAGGAUAGUACUUCUACCAGUUUGCUCUGUUUUUCUAGUUAAAAGGAUCAGUAGGUUAUGUGCUGGGGAAAACCUUUGCUAUCCUACCUGCUUUUUCUGCUCUUCUACAUCCCUCUGUAUUAUUUGUGGUUCUUUGGCUCCCUCUUAACAAUCAUAGAGGAUAGGAAAUGCCAAAUCAGACAUUGUUGAAAAGAGGCAGCUGUGGGGACAGACAGCAGGAACAUGGGAAAGGGGUAAAGUACACUGUUAAAAACAAGGCCAGCUUCAGUCUAGGUGUGUAUAAUGCCAUGCCUUUCUUUCACUCUCCAACAAAGUCCUUAUUAACAGGUUUUUUAAUGCUAAUCCUUAUCAAAGUCUAAAAUCUAUGCUUGCUAUGGUAGUGCUGGAGUGACUUUAACAACUUUUAAUGCCUUGACCUGUUUUGUGUGGAUACAACCAUUCUGUCAUGCAAUAAAUUUAAGAAAUAGGACCUAAUUUCUUACUGUGAUUUAGCUGUUGCAAAGAGAAACAUAGUACUAUUUCCAAAGUUUCCAGAUAAAUUAUUUUAUUUUAAAUUUCAGUAGAAUCUGCUGCAUUCUUGGUUUUAACUUAUGACUCCAUGUCCUGGUUUAAAUUUGGGUUUCUGUUUGCAUUUGCUCCUAUGUUUAUGAGUAUGUACAGGUUGUGUCUGUAAUUGCCUUAGAUAGCUGUUGUUGGCUGUUUGGAAAUACUUAAAAGAGACAGAGUCAUGCUCUGUUCAAAAUUACACUGGCAGAAAGUGGCAUUUUUCUGUUAAUUUUAUGCUGACUUCAGGCUUUGGAUUCAGGCCUAAAUUUGCAUGCAAAAUGUAAGUGCACGAAUCAUAUCUCUGUUUAAAAAUUAAACCUUGGAUAUAUAAUAAAAAAUUUAGAUGUUUAGUAGCUAG
Molecule: non-coding RNA, 1673 nt
Organism: Phasianus colchicus (ring-necked pheasant)
Lineage: Eukaryota; Metazoa; Chordata; Aves; Galliformes; Phasianidae
Source: RefSeq, a predicted model, not a curated record